Long non-coding RNA from Melopsittacus undulatus (budgerigar), 503 nucleotides. The record is from Ensembl. Lineage: Eukaryota; Metazoa; Chordata; Aves; Psittaciformes; Psittaculidae.
GAGAGAGUUCAGACACACCUGAAAGAGGGAACACCAGUGCAAAACAAGGAACUUGCCAUGAAGGGCUGCGUGAGAUGGCUCCUGCUCAAGGCAGGCAUUCUGCCACCCUGCAAAGUCCAUCAGAUGAGACUGAAAUGGUGAAACCCUACAGCUUUCAGAGAUCUAGGAAGGAGCACCAUGACUGAACAGGCCUGGCUGAAACACUUCAUGGCAGUGAUGCUGAUGGCGGUUGGCUGCUCAUAGAACAAGAGGAUGGGUGUUCUCCUGGCUUUGUGAGCUGUGAGAGGAGAGAAGCUGCUGGCUGGAGCUCGAUGGUGAGAGCAUGGUGUGAGCAGCGUGCAGCCAUGUGCACACUGUGUGUGCCAGAACAGACCCUUUCAAGAGCUCCAGAAGACUUUUUUAGCCUCUUUGUUUCAUCUGCAAGACCAAAAAGGAAAGAGAGGUUUCUGCAACUGGGAAGCAGGAGAAGAGAGCGGAGUGACAAGACUUCACCUGUACCGUAG